CGGCACGGGUAGCGUAACGCGUAGCCAACCUACCCGAAUCUGGGGGAUAGCCCGCCGAAAGGCGGAUUAAUACCGCAUAAAACCACAGUGUGGCAUCACGUAAUGGUUAAAGAUUUAUUGGAUUCGGAUGGGGCUGCGUGCCAUUAGCUAGUUGGCGGGGUAACGGCCCACCAAGGCGACGAUGGCUAGGGGAGCUGAGAGGCUGGUCCCCCACAUGGGCACUGAGAUACGGGCCCG
RNAcentral lists this ribosomal RNA (237 nucleotides) under uncultured bacterium. RNAcentral describes it as "partial 16S ribosomal RNA". It matches the Rfam family "Bacterial small subunit ribosomal RNA", at positions 100 to 334 of the family's 1533-position model. The record is from RNAcentral.